AGUGAACGCUGGCGGUAGGCCUAACACAUGCAAGUCGAACGGCAGCACAGUAAGAGCUUGCUCUUACUGUUGGCGAGUGGCGGACGGGUGAGGAAUACAUCGGAAUCUACUUUUUCGUGGGGGAUAACGGAGGGAAACUUACGCUAAUACCGCAUACGACCUACGGGUGAAAGCAGGGGUUCUUCGGACCUUGCGCGAUUGAAUGAGCCGAUGUCGGAUUAGCUAGUUGGCGGGGUAAAGGCCCACCAAGGCGACGAUCCGUAGCUGGUCUGAGAGGAUGAUCAGCCACACUGGAACUGAGACACGGUCCAGACUCCUACGGGAGGCAGCAGUGGGGAAUAUUGGACAAUGGGCGCAAGCCUGAUCCAGCCAUACCGCGUGGGUGAAGAAGGCCUUCGGGUUGUAAAGCCCUUUUGUUGGGAAAGAAAAGCAGCAGGUUAAUACCCCGCUGUUCUGACGGUACCCAAAGAAUAAGCACCGGCUAACUUCGUG
RNAcentral lists this ribosomal RNA (492 nucleotides) under uncultured bacterium. Its description in RNAcentral is "partial 16S ribosomal RNA". It matches the Rfam family "Bacterial small subunit ribosomal RNA", at positions 29 to 507 of the family's 1533-position model. The record is from RNAcentral.